GCCGAGAUAGCUCAGUUGGUAGAGCACAUCCAUGGUAAGGAUGAGGUCGCCGGUCCGAUCCCGGCUCUCGGCU
RNAcentral lists this transfer RNA (73 nucleotides) under bacterium. RNAcentral describes it as "tRNA-Thr". It matches the Rfam family "tRNA". From Rfam's summary of the family: Transfer RNA (tRNA) molecules are approximately 80 nucleotides in length. The record is from RNAcentral.